This 253-nucleotide ribosomal RNA is filed under the name uncultured bacterium. Its description in RNAcentral is "partial 16S ribosomal RNA". It matches the Rfam family "Bacterial small subunit ribosomal RNA", at positions 524 to 776 of the family's 1533-position model. The record is from RNAcentral.
UACGAAGGGUGCUAGCGUUGUUCGGAAUUACUGGGCGUAAAGGGCGCGUAGGCGGCUUUCCAAGUCAGGGGUGAAAUCCCGGGGCUCAACCCCGGAAUUGCCUUUGAAACUGGAAAGCUAGAGUGUCGGAGGGGAUAGCGGAAUUGCUAAUGUAGAGGUGAAAUUCGUAGAUAUUAGUAGGAACACCGGUGGCGAAGGCGGCUAUCUGGACGACAACUGACGCUGAGGCGCGAAAGCAUGGGGAUCAAACAGG